Molecule: transfer RNA, 59 nt
Filed under: Ictidomys tridecemlineatus (thirteen-lined ground squirrel)
Lineage: Eukaryota; Metazoa; Chordata; Mammalia; Rodentia; Sciuridae
Also listed under: 1 other name
Description: Spermophilus tridecemlineatus (thirteen-lined ground squirrel) tRNA
Rfam family: tRNA
About the family: Transfer RNA (tRNA) molecules are approximately 80 nucleotides in length. Their secondary structure includes four short double-helical elements and three loops (D, anti-codon, and T loops).
Source: Rfam by way of RNAcentral
UAGCUCAGUUGGUAGAGUGUUUGCCUCACAUGCAACAAGGCCCUGGGUUGAAUCCCCAG